This is an RNA transcript of Panicum virgatum (switchgrass), 2325 nucleotides long. It is a transcript of the gene named probable F-actin-capping protein subunit beta, with no coding region annotated. The record is from RefSeq and is a predicted model, not a curated record. The transcript is spliced from 10 exons. Lineage: Eukaryota; Viridiplantae; Streptophyta; Magnoliopsida; Poales; Poaceae.
CGGCAGGCAAACGCACAAAAGAAGCAAAGAAAACAAAGGAGACGAAAUGGAAAGAGAGCCACAGAAGACGAAGCCGCCGAGGAGGGACGAGCAACUGAAUUAGGACGAAAGCAACGGAACCGAACGGGGGGAGAGGAGGUGGACGACGACGACGACGUCGUAGCAGCAGGCCAGCACAGCAGCUGGAGGAGAAGGAACGAGGAGGGAUCUACGAGAGUUGGAGGAGGGGGGACAGGACGAGCAAAGGCGGACGGAGGGCCCGGUCGCAUGGAGGCGGCGAUGGAUCUGAUGCGGCGGAUGCCGCCGGCCAGCGCCGAGACGGCGCUCAACGCGCUGCUCUCCCUCCUCCCCGACCACUCGCUCGACCUCCUCUCCCAGGUCGACCUCCCGCUCCAGGUUUGCAUGGAUAAAGAGAAUUUGAAGGAAUACAUUCUAUGCGAGUAUAACCGUGAUGCUGACUCCUAUCGAUCACCUUGGUCAAACAAAUAUGACCCUCCUUUGGAAGAUGGUACAGUUCCCUCUGAAGAGAUGAGGAAUCUUGAGAUUGAGGCAAAUGAAGUUUUCUCUGACUAUCGUGACCAGUACUAUGAAGGUGGGAUUUCAUCUGUGUACGUUUGGGAGGAUGAAGAUAAUGGUGGUUUUAUUGCAUGUUUCUUAAUUAAGAAAGAUGGAAAAGGAACACGAGGGUACAUGCAGAUUGGUUCAUGGGAUGCCAUUCAUGUUAUUCAGGUUGGUCCUGAAAAAGAAGGAGCAGCACAUUACUGCUUGAACAGCACUGUGAUGCUGUCAUUGACAACUGACAACAAACAGUCUGGAACUUUCAACUUGUCUGGAUCGAUUAGACGGCAGAUGAGUAUGACUCUUGCUGUAGCAGAUGGGCACCUCGUUAAUAUGGGGAAAAUGAUAGAAGAAAUGGAGGGGAAGCUGAGAAAUUCACUGGACCAGGUCUAUUUCGGGAAGACGAGAGAAAUGGUUUGCACUCUUCGGCCGCCACCGGAAGUGCUUAAUAUGAGACUACCCGAUAGCUGAACUAGUGAAUAGUACUGUCAAUUUAACAAAGAAAGAUGUCAUGUCUUCACUAUUAUUUCGCUCUACGUGCAAAGUUUCACCGGAAGUGUUGUAUUUGCCUUCUACUCUGGAUGGGGAAGAACUGUGUUACCGUUUCUGAAGCUGUAGCGGCGCAAGUGCCCCGGGGUCAAGCUCUGUCGACCACGCCCCAAGAUAGCCGCCGGCUGCCAGGUUUUACCAUUGCAGCUGGUUUGGGACUUUGGAUUCGAUGAUGUGUUGGAUGAAAGGUUCAGCGACAGCAGUCCACAGGCAUAUACAAGCCGAUCGACCUGCCUCGGCGGCUCGGCCUACCUGGAAACAGUUGUGAACUUGUGAUCAAGCAUGCCUCUGUUGGGCUGCUGAGACCAAGCAUGAGGUUCACGGAAAGAUUAUUGGUGUCUGUUGCUCUAUUCUGAUAAACACAAGCAGCAGCAUUAGACAGCUACAAUAAACAUCGCUAUCGCGUCAAAUCAUCUUCCAAUGGUGGACGCAAUACGCUCUGACCAAAUAUUAUACCAGCAGUUCACAAGGUUCAGCCGAAAACUACAACAGCAAGACUGGUUUUCUUUACUUCAUAUGCAGUGACUAGUGAGUGAUCGAUCCAUCCUCCAGAUUUUACACCAAAAAUCUAAGGAAACAUCUAGUCUAGCUGGAUAUCAUGCGUGGUCACCGAUGUUGUCAAGCAAACUCAUUUGCUUCUUCAUGGUUUAGCUUCCUCUGCAGCGGCUGCUGCUGGAGCUGCUUCCUCCUCCACCUUGCUCUCCUUAGCACCUUCAUCUGCAUUUUUGUUUUCCAUAAAACAAGAUCAGUUCAGUAUAGUGUCAUGAAAACUCACAAGAAAAUCUAGCCAGUCAGGAUUGAAAUGGUCUUCAAGGGAAAGACAAUUUGGACUGAGAACUCCACAACAUGUUUGCAUACUAAUCAACACUUUGACAUCCAAGACCCUAACUUCGACCAUAGAGCUCUGUGAAGACUUAAGACUGGCACAGUCUUGCCUAAGAAUCAACACGCGGUAAAUGACUGGGUCUACCAACUCCAAAUGUGGCACCGUCAAGAACAGAUUGACAGCACGAUUAGGAUAUCGUUGUCAAUUUUUUAUUAGCAGCCACAAGAAGUCAAUAACAGAGUGACAACGAAAGCGAGUUCUAGCUGCUGUCUUUAUUUGCUGACAGGAUGAUAUGCAAGCUAUUGAGAAAUUGUAUGUUGUUAUUGAUGUCAUACUGAAGGGCUCAACUGUAGACUACUCUGUCAGUAAAGAUUGCAAGGCCUUGCAGACUA